This 110-nucleotide ribosomal RNA is filed under the name Castor canadensis (American beaver). Lineage: Eukaryota; Metazoa; Chordata; Mammalia; Rodentia; Castoridae. The record is from RNAcentral.
AGUCUAUGCCAUACCACCCUGGAUGCACCCGAUCACACCUGGUCUCAGAAGCUAAGCAGGGUUGGGCCUGGUUAGUGUUUGGAUGGGAGAAAGAUCUUCAGAGGAGACUG